CCUACGGGGGGCAGCAGUGAGGAAUAUUGGUCAAUGGACGAGAGCCUGAACCAGCCAAGUAGCGUGAAGGAUGACUGCCCUAUGGGUUGUAAACUUCUUUUAUAUGGGAAUAAAAUGUUCCACGUGUGGGAUUUUGUAUGUACCAUAUGAAUAAGGAUCGGCUAACUCCGUGCCAGCAGCCGCGGUAAUACGGAGGAUCCGAGCGUUAUCCGGAUUUAUUGGGUUUAAAGGGAGCGUAGGUGGAUUGUUAAGUCAGUUGUGAAAGUUUGCGGCUCAACCGUAAAAUUGCAGUUGAAACUGGCAGUCUUGAGUACAGUAGAGGUGGGCGGAAUUCGUGGUGUAGCGGUGAAAUGCUUAGAUAUCACGAAGAACUCCGAUUGCGAAGGCAGCUCACUGGACUGCAACUGACGCUGAGGCUCGAAAGUGUGGGUAUCAAACAGGAUUAGAUACCCUGGUAGUC
Molecule: ribosomal RNA, 460 nt
Filed under: uncultured bacterium
Lineage: Bacteria
Description: partial 16S ribosomal RNA
Rfam family: Bacterial small subunit ribosomal RNA
Source: RNAcentral